This 465-nucleotide ribosomal RNA is filed under the name uncultured bacterium. RNAcentral's name for it is "partial 16S ribosomal RNA". It matches the Rfam family "Bacterial small subunit ribosomal RNA", at positions 28 to 507 of the family's 1533-position model. The record is from RNAcentral.
GACGAACGCUAGCGGCGUGCUUAACACAUGCAAGUCGAACGGAAAGGCCCCCUUGUGGGGUACUCGAGUGGCGAACGGGUGAGUAACACGUGAGUAACCUACCCUUGACUUUGGGAUAACUUCAGGAAACUGGGGCUAAUACCGGAUAGGAGCUCCUGCUGCAUGGUGGGGGUUGGAAAGUUUCGGCGGUUGGGGAUGGACUCGCGGCUUAUCAGCUUGUUGGUGGGGUAGUGGCUCACCAAGGCUUUGACGGGUAGCCGGCCUGAGAGGGUGACCGGCCACAUUGGGACUGAGAUACGGCCCAGACUCCUACGGGAGGCAGCAGUGGGGAAUAUUGCACAAUGGGCGGAAGCCUGAUGCAGCAACGCCGCGUGCGGGAUGACGGCCUUCGGGUUGUAAACCGCUUUCGCCUGUGACGAAGCGUGAGUGACGGUAAUGGGUAAAGAAGCACCGGCUAACUACGUG